AGGGGUGUAGUUCAAUUGGUAGAGCAUCGGUCUCCAAAACCGAAUGUUAGGGGUUCGACUCCCUUCACCCCUG
RNAcentral lists this transfer RNA (73 nucleotides) under Buchnera aphidicola (Schlechtendalia chinensis). It matches the Rfam family "tRNA". From Rfam's summary of the family: Transfer RNA (tRNA) molecules are approximately 80 nucleotides in length. The record is from Rfam by way of RNAcentral. RNAcentral also lists the same sequence under 1 other name. Lineage: Bacteria; Pseudomonadati; Pseudomonadota; Gammaproteobacteria; Enterobacterales; Erwiniaceae.